AGCUGUAGUGUAUUAUAAAUUUCAGUUUCUUGUUUUUAUGAUUUAUCCCCAAGAUAUUUCAAUUUGUUUGAUAUGUAAAUGAGUAUGAAUAUAUCCGCUAUUUUAUGACGUCACAUUGGUUGCAAGCUCUUCAAAAUGGUAUAAUAUCACUGCUAUCAUCCAAGAUGAUAAUUUCAAAACUUCACUCACUGGUAAAUGUGAUAAAACACUGGAGAAAAACGUGAACUGAUAUCUACUGUUUUUAGUGUUAAUAGAUUUAAUUGUAACUAGUGUAAGUUGAGCUUGCAAACAAUGUGACGUCAUAAAUUAGCGGACA
Paramuricea clavata is the source of this 316-nucleotide non-coding RNA. The record is from the annotation of a GenBank genome assembly. Lineage: Eukaryota; Metazoa; Cnidaria; Anthozoa; Malacalcyonacea; Plexauridae.